UCGAGAAUCUUCGGCAAUGGGCGCAAGCCUGACCGAGCGACGCCGCGUGCGGGAUGAAGGCCUUCGGGUUGUAAACCGCUGUCGGAGGGGAGGAAAUGCGCGGGGGUUCUCCCUCGCGUUUGACCUAGCCUCAGAGGAAGGACGGGCUAAGUUCGUGCCAGCAGCCGCGGUAAGACGAACCGUCCAAACGUUACUCGGAAUUACUGGGCUUAAAGGGUGCGUAGGCGGCUCAGAAAGUUGGGUGUGAAAGCCCUCGGCUUAACCGAGGAGGGUCGCCCAAAACUACUGAGCUUGAGGAAGACAGAGGUGCGCGGAACUUGCGGUGGAGCGGUGAAAUGCGUUGAUAUCGCAAGGAACACCAGGGGCGAAAGCGGCGCACUGGGUCUUUUCUGACGCUGAGGCACGAAAGCUAGGGGAGCGAAGA
Molecule: ribosomal RNA, 424 nt
Filed under: uncultured prokaryote
Description: bacterial SSU rRNA
Rfam family: Bacterial small subunit ribosomal RNA
Source: RNAcentral